CGCGAUUCGCCCUUCGGGGUGCCCAGGCGCGAAAACUUUACAAUGCUGGAAACAGCGAUAGGGGGACUUUGAGUGCCAGGAUACAAUUCUGGCUGUCGUCGUGCCUAAAAAGCACGGCAUAGCAAGGGCCGGGCAAGACCGGUGCCAGCCGCCGCGGUAACACCGGCGGCUCGAGUGGUAACCGCUAUUAUUGGGUCUAAAGGGUCUGUAGCCGGCUGAAAAAGUCUCUUGGGAAAUCCGGCAGCUUAACUGUCGGGCUUUCAGGAGAUACUCUUCGGCUCGAGACCGGGAGAGGUGAGAGGUACUUCAUGGGUAGGGGUGAAAUCUUGUAAUCCUUGAAGGACCACCAGUGGCGAAGGCGUCUCACCAGAACGGAUCUGACGGCAAGGGACGAAAGCUAGGGGCACGAACCGGAUUAGAUACCCGGGUAGUCCUAGCCGUAAACGAUACUCGCUAGGUGUCGGCCACGGUGCGACCGUGGUCGGUGCCGUAGGGAAGCCGUGAAGCGAGCCACCUGGGAAGUACGGCCGCAAGGCUGAAACUUAAAGGAAUUGGCGGGGGAGCAC
RNAcentral lists this ribosomal RNA (566 nucleotides) under uncultured archaeon. RNAcentral describes it as "bacterial SSU rRNA". It matches the Rfam family "Archaeal small subunit ribosomal RNA", at positions 312 to 879 of the family's 1478-position model. The record is from RNAcentral.